GACUUAUCACAAAACUUCAAUCUUCAAUAAAGCCCAGCAUUACUUUUCCUGUCUGAAGGAGACAUGCCGGAGAAGUAAACAUUGGGAGCAGUGUCCGCUUACCUGAACCUGAACCUCUUGCUAAGUGCUCAGCCUUUUGAAGUGGAAUCUGAGAAAUAAAGGAAACACAACAGUGAUGGAUAUUUCCCGGCGGCUGUGGAGUGUCUACAGAG
Molecule: long non-coding RNA, 212 nt
Organism: Centropristis striata (black sea bass)
Lineage: Eukaryota; Metazoa; Chordata; Actinopteri; Perciformes; Serranidae
Exons: 3
Source: RefSeq, a predicted model, not a curated record